UAGUAACGGCGAGUGAACAGGGAAAAGCCCAGCACCGAAGCCUGUGGCCGUUUGGUCUCUAGGCAAUGUGGUGUUCAGGUCAGCUCGCAGAGAUACUGCUCCACCCUAAGUCCUGUAAUGAGUAAGGUUACUGGAGCGGCCCACAGAGGGUGAAAGGCCCGUGGGGGUGGAGAUGCAGAUGAGUCAGUGUCUCUAUGAGUGGACCUUGGAGUCGGGUUGUUUGUGAAUGCAGCCCAAAGUGGGUGGUAAACUCCAUCCAAGGCUAAAUACUGGCACGAGUCCGAUAGCGAACAAGUACCGUGAGGGAAAGUUGAAAAGUACUUUGAAGAGAGAGUAAACAGUGCGUGAAACCGCUCAAAGGUAAACGGGUGGAGUUGAACUGCAAGCUCCGGGAAUUCAACUGGUGAGUGUGAUGUGAGCUUGGCACAUAGUUGUACAUCUGGGUCUGCUUAGCUGCAGGUCUCCGCCUCUGGUGGGGAUGCGCGAAUCACUUAUCAUGUGUUGUGCGCCCGGGCUGUGUCGAACUGGCUCGCCAGUGCACUUUCUCGGAGUAGUCACCACGACCGGCGUUGCUGCCUUGCUGUUGCGGUUAAACCGGCCUUGUAGGGUCCCUGUGGCCUUGCUUGGUCGGGAUGGCAGGUAGCCCGUUGUGUACUUUUGUGCGCCUCGGGUGUAAUAGCUGACUGCAUCGGUUUUGUGCGGUACGUCAGGANACNGGCGGCUUGUUGUGCGUGCGUGCGUACCUUNUGCGCUGGCGGCGCUGGGUCCGGUUGCCAUGUUGCUUGUGAAUGCAGGCCUGGCGAUGGCUCGGUGUUGUUCGGUGUACGGAUGCGUGUGUGGCACUUUGAAGGGCCAAUAGUCUGUGGUGUAGUGGUAGACUAUCCACCUGACCCGUCUUGAAACACGGACCAAGGAGAGUAACAUGUGCGCGAGUCAUUGGGCGUUACGAAACCCAAAGGCGAAGUGAAAGUAAAGGUUCGGCUUGUCCGGACUGAAGUGAAAUCCUGUCGUUUCUCAAGCGCGGUACCACCAAGCAUCGAGCGGCAGGGGCAUCACCGGCCCGUCCCAUGGCGUAAA
This 1077-nucleotide ribosomal RNA is filed under the name Stephanoprora pseudoechinata. RNAcentral's name for it is "eukaryotic LSU rRNA". It matches the Rfam family "Eukaryotic large subunit ribosomal RNA", at positions 81 to 780 of the family's 3401-position model. The record is from RNAcentral. Lineage: Eukaryota; Metazoa; Platyhelminthes; Trematoda; Plagiorchiida; Echinochasmidae.